AUCUUUGUUGAAGAUUGCUGUGGAAGAAUUGACCAAGCAGGGCUGCAGUGUCACAGUGUCAGAUUUAUAUGCAAUGCAGUUUGAGCCAAGAGCAACAAGAAAUGACAUUGUUGGUCGCUUGCAUAACUCGGAAGCUUUCAAUUAUGGUGUGGAGACCUGGGAAGCUUACAAGAGGGGAGGUUUGUCCAAAGAUCUGGUUGAAGAGCAAAAGAAGGUGCAGGAAGCAGACUUGCUGAUUUUUCAGUUUCCCUUGUUUUGGUUCAGCAU
Molecule: long non-coding RNA, 267 nt
Organism: Empidonax traillii (willow flycatcher)
Lineage: Eukaryota; Metazoa; Chordata; Aves; Passeriformes; Tyrannidae
Exons: 3
Source: RefSeq, a predicted model, not a curated record